GGGGGCCGGGUGGGCCGUGCUGUGUGGGGAGGGAUGUGAGCUGCGCUGGGCGGCUUCGCCGGAGUCAGGACGGCCGCUAUAGCGAAGCAGCUUGGCGUCUUGAAGGACCUCCUGCUCACCAGGAGCCCCAUGCUGACGGAGGAGGCUGUCGGUCCUUCCACCUCAGCAGAACAUAUCUUCUGAAGAUAUUUGAACAUGGUAGCCAAGAAGGCUGAACAGUCUUUGAAGAAACAGCGGACCAUGCAGCUGAAGGGGUGAACUGAAUCCUUGCACAUCCUUCAGCUGAAAAAGCCCACCCUUCUGAAGAGUUUGGUUCAGGCUUUGUACAUCAAACAGACUUCAGUGAAGUUAUUCGUGCCUCACACAAGUGGUAAGAGGAAAGAGAAGAAAGUUAUUCAUAUUUAAUGCUAUUUUGUGCCAGAUGUUUUGCUGGUAGAAAUCCAUAGCUCCACAGGCACCAAUUUCUUCAGGAUCUGGAAUGUCUGGCCCAAUUUCUUUCUCAUUCUGGAUGGUCUGUGAAAGAAACCACUUUAUUUUGCAAUAUUGAAUAUUCUUGCUGGGAAGUUAUAAGCAAAAACAAAAUAAUGAGAGACAGGGUCUCUAAUAAGCUUCCUGUCACAUGAGGCUCUGGUUCUAUUGAAGCAUAUGUGUUUGCUGACUUGCUUCCAAAAGGUUUGUUGAGUGGUGGUGAUUAGUUUCUGUUGUACUGAUGUUAUCUCUCUGUAGUCUCAUUCAAUACAAGUAGUUCUGUAAACAGUGAAGUCUUUUUUUCCUAUGGAUUUGUAUCUUGGAUUGUGUUUCAGCAUGGAUUCUCUGAUGUUUAAUGGGGAUGGAGUUCAUGUUUAGCCAAUUUCUUCAAUGAGGGAUGAAUAAUCUGUCUUUUUGGCCAUCUAUUUUCACAAAAUUUGCUGGAAUUAAAUAUCUUCAACGCCCUCUAUCAAAGUUGACUGGGAUUUAUGAACAAGUUUUGGAGUUAUUUGGGGCUGUCCAAUGUAGAUAAGAGUCUCAUUUUCUUACAAAAACAGAAUGUAAAAAUGCAUUCUUAAAGUAUUUUGUCCUUGUAUACUACCUGCUUGAUUCUAUUCUACUUGUGACCAGUCACAUAGGAUAUGUUUUAUUUGUAAAGCUGUAUGAAAGUAUGAUGCGUUUUUUUGCCCUGUUGAGUGCAUAUUAAAGCAUCCUUAGUUUAUUUUUGUUA
Molecule: long non-coding RNA, 1198 nt
Organism: Centrocercus urophasianus (Greater sage-grouse)
Lineage: Eukaryota; Metazoa; Chordata; Aves; Galliformes; Phasianidae
Exons: 3
Source: RefSeq, a predicted model, not a curated record